GAAAAUUGGAGACACAUGAACAAUAUAUAAGAGCUUUAUUUUGAAGCUUUUGCAAAAUGGAAUUCUGCCCUUGUGCAGAAGACCUGGUUCCCAGGAAGGCUGGGGUUUAUAUACAGGUCCAAAUAUACAGUCUCUGCCCCUUUCCUAGGUUCACAAUCUAUCGAAGUCUAUGUA
This is a non-coding RNA of Pseudonaja textilis, 174 nucleotides long. The record is from RefSeq and is a predicted model, not a curated record. Lineage: Eukaryota; Metazoa; Chordata; Lepidosauria; Squamata; Elapidae.